RNAcentral lists this ribosomal RNA (217 nucleotides) under uncultured Staphylococcus sp. Its description in RNAcentral is "partial 16S ribosomal RNA". It matches the Rfam family "Bacterial small subunit ribosomal RNA", at positions 147 to 355 of the family's 1533-position model. The record is from RNAcentral. Lineage: Bacteria; Bacillati; Bacillota; Bacilli; Caryophanales; Staphylococcaceae.
UACCGGGAAACCGGGGACGUAAUACCGGAUAACACAUGAAACCGCAUGGUUUCAUGAUGAAAGACGGUUUUGCUGUCACUUAUAGAUGGACCCGCGGCGUAUUAGCUAGUUGGUAAGGUAACGGCUUACCAAGGCAACGAUACGUAGCCGACCUGAGAGGGUGAUCGGCCACACUGGAACUGAGACACGGUCCAGACUCCUACGGGAGGCAGCAGUA